This 833-nucleotide ribosomal RNA is filed under the name Bacillus subtilis. RNAcentral's name for it is "bacterial SSU rRNA". It matches the Rfam family "Bacterial small subunit ribosomal RNA", at positions 77 to 893 of the family's 1533-position model. Lineage: Bacteria; Bacillati; Bacillota; Bacilli; Caryophanales; Bacillaceae. The record is from RNAcentral.
AGCUUGCUCCCUGAUGUUAGCGGCGGACGGGUGAGUAACACGUGGGUAACCUGCCUGUAAGACUGGGAUAACUCCGGGAAACCGGGGCUAAUACCGGAUGGUUGUUUGAACCGCAUGGUUCAAACAUAAAAGGUGGCUUCGGCUACCACUUACAGAUGGACCCGCGGCGCAUUAGCUAGUUGGUGAGGUAACGGCUCACCAAGGCAACGAUGCGUAGCCGACCUGAGAGGGUGAUCGGCCACACUGGGACUGAGACACGGCCCAGACUCCUACGGGAGGCAGCAGUAGGGAAUCUUCCGCAAUGGACGAAAGUCUGACGGAGCAACGCCGCGUGAGUGAUGAAGGUUUUCGGAUCGUAAAGCUCUGUUGUUAGGGAAGAACAAGUACCGUUCGAAUAGGGCGGUACCUUGACGGUACCUAACCAGAAAGCCACGGCUAACUACGUGCCAGCAGCCGCGGUAAUACGUAGGUGGCAAGCGUUGUCCGGAAUUAUUGGGCGUAAAGGGCUCGCAGGCGGUUUCUUAAGUCUGAUGUGAAAGCCCCCGGCUCAACCGGGGAGGGUCAUUGGAAACUGGGGAACUUGAGUGCAGAAGAGGAGAGUGGAAUUCCACGUGUAGCGGUGAAAUGCGUAGAGAUGUGGAGGAACACCAGUGGCGAAGGCGACUCUCUGGUCUGUAACUGACGCUGAGGAGCGAAAGCGUGGGGAGCGAACAGGAUUAGAUACCCUGGUAGUCCACGCCGUAAACGAUGAGUGCUAAGUGUUAGGGGGUUUCCGCCCCUUAGUGCUGCAGCUAACGCAUUAAGCACUCCGCCUGGGGAGUACGGUCGCAAGA